Molecule: ribosomal RNA, 468 nt
Filed under: uncultured bacterium
Lineage: Bacteria
Description: partial 16S ribosomal RNA
Rfam family: Bacterial small subunit ribosomal RNA
Source: RNAcentral
GAUGAACGCUGACAGAAUGCUUAACACAUGCAAGUCUACUUGAAUUUGGGUUUUUUAACUUAGAUUUGGGUGGCGGACGGGUGAGUAACGCGUAAAGAACUUGCCUCACAGUUAGGGACAACAUUUGGAAACGAAUGCUAAUACCUGAUAUUAUGAAUAUAUGGCAUCAUAUAAUUAUGAAAGCUAUAAGCGCUGUGAGAGAGCUUUGCGUCCCAUUAGCUAGUUGGAGAGGUAACGGCUCACCAAGGCGAUGAUGGGUAGCCGGCCUGAGAGGGUGAACGGCCACAAGGGGACUGAGACACGGCCCUUACUCCUACGGGAGGCAGCAGUGGGGAAUAUUGGACAAUGGACCAAGAGUCUGAUCCAGCAAUUCUGUGUGCACGAUGACGUUUUUCGGAAUGUAAAGUGCUUUCAGUUGGGAAGAAAAAAAUGACGGUACCAACAGAAGAAGUGACGGCUAAAUGCGUG